CUUGCGUUAGCGAUUAGCGCUAAUACACGUUAGCAUUAAUAUACGGUUAAUUCUGGCUUUUACAACGUUCAUGCUUGGCUGCACACUACUACAAUAGUUUUCGCAUAUUGCCAGAAAGCGCAAUAAACGCUCUCACAUGAAAAAGUCCCAGCCACUAGACCACAUGGGACUGUCCACAUAUGCAAGAAGGAGCUGAACGCUGCCCACCUGAGGAAAAACUAGGAAUUCUAACCACGAGACCAUAUGGGACUUCAGUUUCCUGGCGAUGACUGGCCUACUUGGACCUCAGACAAAACACAGAGGCCUGGAGGUGCAGCUGCUCUACUGGGCUCUCAAGACCAGACCCAGCAGCAGACCACGAGGUCCACUCAAGGCCUGCUGGGACACCAAGAGACCAAGACAGACAUGAGCGACAAGGUGAGUCCGGCAAGCGUGGGAUCAGGACCCCCCCCCCUCAGUCGAGGCCCCGCAUGCAGAGUGGGGAACAGGAACAGGCCCACUUCCACGGGUGCCUAAUUGAUGGCCCUUUAAAAUUCCCACAGAGGACCAAUCAGGGGUUUCAUCUCGGGGGCAACGCCGGGCUCAGAGGGGCCAGCCGGGGGCUUCUGGAAUAGAGAAGAGUGACAAGUGACAAGGAGGUGAGGAGCAGGAUGAAGAGGUGCUGCACAUGAUGAGGUUUUGCAUUUCAUUAUAUGAUUUUUUAAAAUCCAGGUAUCCUGCCAUAAUUCACUUUUAUUAAUUAUGAAGGAAACCAAGCUUGUAGACUGACUCAACAUAUGUUAUAAUUAGUGAUAUUAGCACCGAUGCCAUCGCGAAAACACAAGGGGUGACCUGGCUGGUCCACAACCUACACAUUUAAAGGGUCACUAAAAUAAAAUGUAUAUCAAUACUGCUAAUUAUUAUUUCUUUACAUACAUGAUGAGUAAACGUAUAUAAAUAAAUAAAUAACGUAAUUCCAUCUAUCCGUUUUCUAUGCCGCUUAUUCUCACUUCUAUUAUUGUCAUAAUAGAAGUAAUUAUUUAAUUUAAUUUAAUUUUAGUGCAUUUUUCAUUUCAAGUCUUAGCGCAUGUAAACAAAUGAUUGAUAGUGAAAAAAAUACUACAAUUUGGCACCAAAUGUAUUUGUGUCGGUCCACCACAAGUAAAUGAAUGUAUGUGAAACGCUGUACUGCAAUAGGAAGCAAUAGGAAACAAUCGUGCAACAGUAAAAAGUAAACCAGUUUGUUCCCAUCAGGUCAUCGCUCUGCUUUGUGUGAUAUGAAGAUGAAAGUAAAAGCAAAUGUAAGAUGACAAACUGCCCACCAAAAUCCUUCUUCUUGACUUGUCUGCCAGUGAUGAGAGGCUCUGACAAAUUGCAACGAGUGCUCUCUCACUUCACUUUGUCCAUUUCAAAUGCGUACUGAUCAAACAUAAGCAAUCGGUUUAUCCUAACAUCGUAUUUUCUGCACAGCCCUCGCAGACAUGAUGCAUCCUAACAAGCGCAUGCAUAUUGCAUCACCUUUACAUAUGUUUUUAGGGAAUAUCUCUUUUAUGCAUUAAUGCAAAUCCCGGGGAGUUUUUGGUGCAACAUUACUGGCGAUGAAGAUGCAAUGAAAACAGGCCAAUACAUUUCCAUUGGCUGAUGUUUCUGACAUUUAGACGCAACAGCCCC
Molecule: long non-coding RNA, 1650 nt
Organism: Dunckerocampus dactyliophorus (ringed pipefish)
Lineage: Eukaryota; Metazoa; Chordata; Actinopteri; Syngnathiformes; Syngnathidae
Exons: 5
Source: RefSeq, a predicted model, not a curated record